UUAUGAAGUUAGCGGCGGACGUGGUGAGUAACACGUGGGUAACCUGCCCAUAAGACUGGGAUAACUCCGGGAAACCGGGGCUAAUACCGGAUAACAUUUUGAACCGCAUGGUUCGAAAUUGAAAGGCGGCUUCGGCUGUCACUUAUGGAUGGACCCGCGUCGCAUUAGCUAGUUGGUGAGGUAACGGCUCACCAAGGCAACGAUGCGUAGCCGACCUGAGAGGGUGAUCGGCCACACUGGGACUGAGACACGGCCCAGACUCCUACGGGAGGCAGCAGUAGGGAAUCUUCCGCAAUGGACGAAAGUCUGACGGAGCAACGCCGCGUGAGUGAUGAAGGCUUUCGGGUCGUAAAACUCUGUUGUUAGGGAAGAACAAGUGCUAGUUGAAUAAGCUGGCACCUUGACGGUACCUAACCAGAAAGCCACGGCUAACUACGUGCCAGCAGCCGCGGUAAUACGUAGGUGGCAAGCGUUAUCCGGAAUUAUUGGGCGUAAAGCGCGCGCAGGUGGUUUCUUAAGUCUGAUGUGAAAGCCCACGGCUCAACCGUGGAGGGUCAUU
Molecule: ribosomal RNA, 559 nt
Filed under: Bacillus cereus
Lineage: Bacteria; Bacillati; Bacillota; Bacilli; Caryophanales; Bacillaceae
Description: bacterial SSU rRNA
Rfam family: Bacterial small subunit ribosomal RNA
Source: RNAcentral